GAUCAGGCAUCAGUGUUGUGGUCUUGUGCAUGAGCGUGUGCAUGUACAAUCUUAGGGCAGACAAUGAAAGUCCUGUGAAGAGACGCUGAGACGACGUCUGAGGACGAGAGAACGCCUGGAGGACACGGAGACUUUUUUGCAAGAACCGAUUAUCAGGCGAGUACUGCACCUGGUACUACAGCUCUGUUGUGUCUGUGGACUCUAAUCUUCACUCCUGUUCAUUUGUUCCCGCUGCUGUUGACAAAGAGCAAGUGAUUGUGCAAGUCUGGACUCGAUGGAUCUUGCUCUGUUUUUGCUCCUCACUUCAGUGUUUUGUCCUGUCAUAUGGACGUCGCUGAGCAUUUUCAUUGGUAGGCACAGAGCGUGAGAGCACAGGAGACGUCAACGCUGCUCUGGGUUUUCCCGUCCAGCAGAUCUGGGUCAAAGCUGCUGAAGCUUUUGUUGGUUUGUACGAGGACGCAGCAGCAGUCUGACUGAAGGUAGGAGCCGGGAGCGCAGCAACAUGGACACAAUAUUAUUUACAGCUGAUAGACUUCAACCCAAUGAACUUUGCUCCCACUGAGACUGAGACAAUGUAAACCAUGAGCUUCUGCUGCAGAAACGAGUUCAACUGAUUAAAGUUGUCCAUCAAAACCUAAUGAGUCUGAAUGCAACUCUCAACGUCUAUCAACCCCAAACAGGCCGUCUAUAUUAGAAGUCAAGCUGGACCUGCACAGGUUUCCAGAUGUUUAAACCCACACGACUCUGAGGCUCCACCCACACUCAGCACUGGACUCUCCUUCCACCGACACCAUCAUCACGCUGAGGUGAAACAGCAGCAGACAGAAAACAGAAUCAUCGGAAUGACCGGGGGAAAAUGAGACUCAGCAGAUUAAUGAUGGCAACACUGAGGACUCCAAUGAAAACAAAGAACAUCCAGGAAUUAAUCUAUAGAAGUUCUCCAGGAAUUUGAUUUGCGUCAACAUUAAUGUCACAGUGACGCCUCUCUCUGAAACCGUCUCAAUCAUUCCCAACUGCCCACUCCUUCUCACCCCCCCUCUUCCUUUUAUGGUGUUGUUGACAAAAUGCCUUCAAGACAUGUUAUUACCAUUUCCUGCCCUGGAGACAAGAGAUAUUUGCUGAACAUCAACAUCUUUCCCCCUCACUGAAGAAAACCCUUAAAGGGGAGAAAACAAAGGAAAAGAAAAGACAGAGGAAAUUAAAGAGGGAACAAGAGGGUGGGGAGACAACAUCUAUGACUUUUUCCUUAGUGAGAAAAACAUAAUUAAAGGUAAAAUGAAAGAAAAUGAGGCAGGCAAAAAAUGAAAAUGGAAGAGGGAUAAGGGAUAAGAGAGGGAAGGGGACAAAAAGCAGUGGAAAUGAAGU
Molecule: long non-coding RNA, 1365 nt
Organism: Cynoglossus semilaevis (tongue sole)
Lineage: Eukaryota; Metazoa; Chordata; Actinopteri; Pleuronectiformes; Cynoglossidae
Exons: 3
Source: RefSeq, a predicted model, not a curated record